CCUACGGGUGGCAGCAGUAGGGAAUCUUCCACAAUGGGCGAAAGCCUGAUGCAGCAACGCCGCGUGGGUGAAGAAGGCUUUCGGAUCGUAAAACUCUUUUGUUAGAGAAGAACAUGCGUGAGAGUAACUGUUCACGUUUCGACGGUAUCUAACCAGAACGCCACGGCUAACUCCGUGCCAGCCGCCGCGGUAAUACGUAGGUGGCAAGCGUUAUCCGGAUUUAUUGGGCGUAAAGGGAACGCAGGCGGUCUUUUAAGUCUGAUGUGAAAGCCUUGGGCUUAACCGGAGUAGUGCAUUGGAAACUGGGAGACUUGAGUGUAGAAGAGGAGAGCGGAAUUCCAAGUGUAGCGGUGAAAUGCGUAGAUAUAAGGAAGAACACCAGUGGCGAAGGCGGCCCUCUGGUCUGUAACUGACGCUGAGGUUCGAAAGCGUGGGGAGCAAACAGGAUUAGAUACCCUAGUAGUC
Molecule: ribosomal RNA, 465 nt
Filed under: uncultured bacterium
Lineage: Bacteria
Description: partial 16S ribosomal RNA
Rfam family: Bacterial small subunit ribosomal RNA
Source: RNAcentral